This 243-nucleotide long non-coding RNA is filed under the name Cicer arietinum (chickpea). RNAcentral describes it as "long non-coding RNA (CARI_LNC000601)". The record is from RNAcentral. Lineage: Eukaryota; Viridiplantae; Streptophyta; Magnoliopsida; Fabales; Fabaceae.
UGGUUAUCAAGAACUGAACUAAACUAAACUAAACUAUUAAUGUAUUUUAAUUAUAUUCAGUUUUUGACCUAGUGAGUGAAAAUCUUUUGUAAAGAAGAUAAGGUUUGGGUAAGAAGUAAAAAUGAAAGUGAAAUGAGAAGCAGGAGUAAGAAGAAAGAAAUGUGCGGUUCAUAGAAGAUGAAAGAAGUGGAGAAAGGAUGAGAAAGAUGAAAUUUAUAGUUUGAAAUUGAUUUGCGGAGAAAG